UACGUAGGGUGCGAGCGUUGCCCGGAUUUAUUGGGCGUAAAGAGCUCGUAGGCGGUUCGGUAAGUCGGAUGUGAAAUCUCCACGCUCAACGUGGAGGGGCCAUUCGAUACUGCCGUGACUCGAGUCCGGUAGGGGAGUGUGGAAUUCCCGGUGUAGCGGUGAAAUGCGCAGAGAUCGGGAGGAACACGCGGAGCGAAGGCGGCACUCUGGGCCGGUACUGACGCUGAGGAGCGAAAGCGUGGGGAGCAAACAGG
Molecule: ribosomal RNA, 254 nt
Filed under: uncultured bacterium
Lineage: Bacteria
Description: partial 16S ribosomal RNA
Rfam family: Bacterial small subunit ribosomal RNA
Source: RNAcentral